Canis lupus familiaris (dog) is the source of this 2499-nucleotide long non-coding RNA. RefSeq lists it as uncharacterized. The transcript is spliced from 2 exons. Lineage: Eukaryota; Metazoa; Chordata; Mammalia; Carnivora; Canidae. The record is from RefSeq and is a predicted model, not a curated record.
GAAAGAAAGAAAGAAAGAAAGAAAGAAAGAAAGAAAAGAAAGAAAGAAAAAGAAAGUAGUUGGCUAAGGGCCUGGCUCAUCCAGAGCCUGUAUAAAUCAGGGUGGUGUGGUAGACUGAAUAAUGCCCCCCCCCCCAAUAUCCUUGUCCUCAACUCCAAGGACCUGUGAACACGUGAUUAAGUUAAGGAUUUUGAGAUGGGGAAAUUAUUAUUCGAGUGGGCCUAAUAUAAUCACAAGGGAGGCAGAAGAGUCUGAGUAACGAAAGGUGAUGUGAUGGAGAGAAGGAGAGAAGAGAGGGAGAGAUUUUGGAAGAUGCUAUGUUGCUGGCUUUGAAGAUGGAGGAAGGGACCACGAGGCAGGGAUGCAGAGAGCCUCUUAGAGCCUGGAAAAAGCAAGGAAAUGGAUUCUCCCCUAGAUCUUCCAGAAGGAGCCAGCCCUACCAACCAUUUUAGUUUUAUGGACUUCUAGAACUAUAUGAGAAUAAAUCUGUGUUGCUUUAAGUCAGUAAGUUUGUAGCUUUUUUUUAAAAAUAGCAGUCAUUGGAAACUAACUUAGGCAGUCAUUAUUCCUUUAUUUAUUUAUUAUUUUAAGAUUUUAUUUAUUUAUUCAUGAGAGACCCAGAGAGGGAGAGAUUGAGAGGCAGAGACACAGGCAAAGGGAGAAGCAAGCUCCAUGCAGGGAGCCCAACGUGGGACUCGAUCCCGGGUCUCCAGGAUCAGGCCCUGGGCUGAAGGCAGCGCUAAACCACUGAGCCACCUGGGCUGCCCUAUUCCUUUAUUUAUAUUGUAUCAUUUAAUCCUGCAGCAUCACUGGCCACAUUUUCUCCCCCACCGUCCCAAAGCCAGCAAGAUUUGGAGAUCAGGGUAGAGAGCUGUUUACCUCUCUGCUUCAGUUUCUUCUCCUGUAAAUUGGGGUUUAUAAGAGGAUCUCCUUCUUAGGUUUGGGUGAUUGUUCAAGGAGGUAGUAUGCACAAAGUCCUUAGAACAAUGCUGGCAUAUGGUAGGCACCAUGUAAGUGUUGGCUAUAUUCAUUUUUUAAAGUAAGCUCCAAGCCCAGCAUGGAGCCCAAUGUGGGGCUUGAGCUCAUGACCCUGAGAUCAAGAUCUGAGCUGAGGUCAAGAGUUGGAUGCUUAAUCAAGUGGGCCUCAGGUUCAUUGCUUGUAAUAACUUCCCAGGAUUUUGGGGGGAGGUGACAUGUGUUCAUACAUAUGAAGAGUUUAGUAUAGUGCCUGGUAUCUAGGAAGCGCUCAGUAAAUGGGCAUUAGUGUGUUGAGGGUGGACCUUAGUGUCAGUAAGACACAGGUUUAAAUCUUGGCUCCUCCACUGGCUAGUUUUAUUAUUUCAAGCCAGUUAGUUGACCUCUCUGUGCCUCAGUUUCCUUAUCUGGAAAAAGGAUCGCUCAGAGGCUUUAGGGGGUUAUGCAUGUAAGUGUGCUUAACACAGGGCCCCACAAGUGUGCAUUCUCAAGAGUGUCAUCAUCAUCAUCAUCACCACCACCCACCACAAUGAUACACACUGCAUUCAAAAUACCACACAGAGGGGGCACCUGAGUGGCUCAGUGGGUUAACUGGUGGACUCUGGGUUUCCACUCAGGUCAGGUCAUGAUCUCAGGGUAGUGAGAUCGAGCCGCGGGGUAGAUUGCCACACUCAAUAGGGAGUCCGUUUGAAGAUUCUCUCCCUUUGCACCUCCCUGCCCACUCUCCCCCCACCCUCUUCAUGAUAAAUAAAUCUUUAAACCAGAAUACUUUGCAGAGACAGCACAGCAGAGCGGCUACCAUAUAACCUAUCCUGUCACUAUACAUCAAGGAACACAGCACCUGAAACCGAUCCACCUGCAGGGGUCACCACUCUUAUUGCGCGCCAAGUGAGGAGCCUCCAGGAGUUUUGAGUUCAUGCCUACGCUAUCUGGCAGUCCUGACCACUGAGGAGGAUGGAUUUCCUCAGAAUCUGGACGGAGAACCUCCUCAGGACUUUCCACCGGUCCCCGUUGGAGAAGGCGAUCCCUGGGGAGAAAGGGAGGGGCCAACUCAACUGAUGACUUGUCCCCAAGACUACUGCCAUCCGAGUCUCCUUUCCUGGUGACUGCUGGGAGAGAGGCUGAGAAUUUGGAAUCAACCCCCUAUGUCCACCCUGGGAAGUCCUACCUAACCCUCCAGCCUGGGUCAAGUGCCACCUCUGAGCUUCCAGAGGGUCCUGGGCUUCCUCACCAUGGUCCUGAUCACUCUGCCUCUGUUUCCUUCAUCACAGACCUGAUCUUUCUGAACUAUCACCAUCUAGCCAUGGGGCUAUCUCCUUCCAUAAGCUGUGAAGGUGGGGGUGAGAAUGGAGGGAGGAAGGGGGUGUCUUGGUCAUCACUGUGUCCCUAGCAUUGUCCACAGUGUAGGGCUUACCACACUGGAGGUGCUGGUGGUGAUUGCUUAAAAAUUAAUGAAAGCACAAAUAAGGGAGAAAAACAAGGGAAAUAAACACUGAGGCAUUGGGACCUCAUUCAGGAACAAGA